CUAAUACAUGCAAGUCGAGCGCGGGAAGCAAACUGAAUCCUUCGGGAGGACGUUUGUGGAACGAGCGGCGGACGGGUGAGUAACACGUGGGCAACCUGCCUGUAAGACUGGGAUAACUCCGGGAAACCGGGGCUAAUACCGGAUAAGACUUUAUCUCGCAUGAGAUAGAGAUGAAAGAUGGCUUUUAGCUAUCACUUACAGAUGGGCCUGCGGCGCAUUAGCUAGUUGGUGGGGUAAUGGCCUACCAAAGCGACGAUGCGUAGCCGACCUGAGAGGGUGAUCGGCCACACUGGGACUGAGACACGACCCAGACUCCUACGGGAGGCAGCAGUAGGGAAUCUUCCGCAAUGGACGCAAGUCUGACGGAGCAACGCCGCGUGAGUGAUGAAUGUCUUCGGAUUGUAAAACUCUGUUGUUAGGGAAGAACAAGUACCGGAGUAACUGCCGGUACCUUGACGGUACCUAACCAGAAAGCCCCGGCUAACUACGUGCCAGCAGCCGCGGUAAUACGUAGGGGGCGAGCGUUGUCCGGAAUUAUUGGGCGUAAAGGGCGCGUAGGCGGUCUCUUAAGUCUGAUGUGAAAGCCCCCGGCUUAACCGGGGAGGGUCAUUGGAAACUGGGAGACUUGAGUGCAGGAGAGGGAAGCGGAAUUCCAUGUGUAGCGGUGAAAUGCGUAGAGAUAUGGAGGAACACCAGUGGCGAAGGCGG
Molecule: ribosomal RNA, 708 nt
Filed under: uncultured bacterium
Lineage: Bacteria
Description: bacterial SSU rRNA
Rfam family: Bacterial small subunit ribosomal RNA
Source: RNAcentral